GGAUUGCCUCAGUAACGGCGAGUGAAGCGGCAACAGCUCAAAUUUGAAAUCUGGCUCUUUCAGGGUCCGAGUUGUAAUUUGUAGAAGAUGCUUCGGGUGUGGCUCCGGUCUAAGUUCCUUGGAACAGGACGUCAUAGAGGGUGAGAAUCCCGUAUGUGACUGGGUGCCUUCGCUCAUGUGAAGCUCUUUCGACGAGUCGAGUUGUUUGGGAAUGCAGCUCAAAAUGGGUGGUAAAUUUCAUCUAAAGCUAAAUAUUGGCCAGAGACCGAUAGCGCACAAGUAGAGUGAUCGAAAGAUGAAAAGCACUUUGGAAAGAGAGUUAAACAGUACGUGAAAUUGUUGAAAGGGAAGCGCUUGCAACCAGACUUGCACGCGGUUGAUCAUCCGGUGUUCUCACCGGUGCACUCUGCCGCGUUCAGGCCAGCAUCGGUUUUGGUGGUUGGAUAAAGGCCUAGGGAAUGUAGCUUCUUUCGGGGAGUGUUAUAGCCCUAGGUGCAAUGCAGCCUACUGGGACCGAGGACCGCGCUUCGGCUAGGAUGCUGGCGUAAUGGUUGUAAGCGACCCGUCUUGAAACACGGACCAAGGAGUCUAACAUCUAUGCGAGUGUUUGGGUGUCAAACCCAUACGCGUAAUGAAAGUGAACGGAGGUGAGAACCCUUAAGGGUGCAUCAUCGACCGAUCCUGAUGUCUUCGGAUGGAUUUGAGUAAGAGCAUAGCUGUUGGGACCCGAAAGAUGGUGAACUAUGCGUGAAUAGGGUGAAGCCAGAGGAAACUCUGGUGGAGGCUCGCAGCGGUUCUGACGUGCAAAUCGAUCGUCAAAUUUGCGCAUAGGGGCGAAAGACUAAUCGAACCAUCUAGUA
RNAcentral lists this ribosomal RNA (860 nucleotides) under Helotiales sp. REF059. Its description in RNAcentral is "eukaryotic LSU rRNA". It matches the Rfam family "Eukaryotic large subunit ribosomal RNA", at positions 72 to 949 of the family's 3401-position model. Lineage: Eukaryota; Fungi; Ascomycota; Leotiomycetes; Helotiales. The record is from RNAcentral.